This 301-nucleotide ribosomal RNA is filed under the name uncultured bacterium. RNAcentral describes it as "partial 16S ribosomal RNA". It matches the Rfam family "Bacterial small subunit ribosomal RNA", at positions 509 to 810 of the family's 1533-position model. The record is from RNAcentral.
CAGUCGCCGCGGUAAUACGUAGGGUGCAAGCGUUAUCCGGAAUUAUUGGGCGUAAAGAGCUCGUAGGCGGUUUGUCGCGUCUGCUGUGAAAACUGGAGGCUCAACCUCCAGCCUGCAGUGGGUACGGGCAGACUAGAGUGCGGUAGGGGAGAUUGGAAUUCCUGGUGUAGAGGUGGAAUGCGCAGAUAUCAGGAGGAACACCGAUGGCGAAGGCAGAUCUCUGGGCCGUAACUGACGCUGAGGAGCGAAAGCGUGGGAGCGAACAGGAUUAGAUACCCGAGUAGUCCCUGUCCUUAUACAC